This 224-nucleotide ribosomal RNA is filed under the name uncultured bacterium. RNAcentral's name for it is "partial 16S ribosomal RNA". It matches the Rfam family "Bacterial small subunit ribosomal RNA", at positions 116 to 334 of the family's 1533-position model. The record is from RNAcentral.
CGUAAAGAACCUGCCUCAUAGACUGGGACAACUAUUGGAAACGAUAGCUAAUACCGGAUAACAGUAUUUCUCGCAUGGGAGAUAUUUAAAAGUUGGUUAUGCUAACACUAUGAGAUGGCUUUGCGGUGCAUUAGCUAGUUGGUGGGGUAAAGGCCCACCAAGGCGACGAUGCAUAGCCGACCUGAGAGGGUGAUCGGCCACACUGGGACUGAGACACGGCCCAG